RNAcentral lists this ribosomal RNA (271 nucleotides) under uncultured archaeon. Its description in RNAcentral is "partial 16S ribosomal RNA". It matches the Rfam family "Archaeal small subunit ribosomal RNA", at positions 477 to 747 of the family's 1478-position model. The record is from RNAcentral.
CGGCAGCCCGAGUGGGGAUCACUAUUAUUGGGUCUAAAGGUUCCGUAGCCGGUUUGAUCAGUCUUUUGGGAAAUCUGACAGCUUAACUGUUAGGCUUCCAAAAGAUACUGACAGACUUGGGACCGGGAGAGGUAAGAGGUACUACAGGGGUAGGAGUGAAAUCUUGUAAUCCCUGUGGGACCACCAGUGGCGAAGGCGUCUUACCAGAACGGGUCCGACGGUGAGGGACGAAAGCUGGGGGCACGAACCGGAUUAGAUACCCGAGUAGUCC